Molecule: long non-coding RNA, 834 nt
Organism: Megalops cyprinoides (Indo-Pacific tarpon)
Lineage: Eukaryota; Metazoa; Chordata; Actinopteri; Elopiformes; Megalopidae
Exons: 3
Source: RefSeq, a predicted model, not a curated record
GACGUUGCCGUGAGCACACAGUCAUCCCACUGAGACCCCGGUUGAAAGUUGAGAGAGAGAGAGAAAGAGUUGAGCCGCAUGAAUCUGCGAGCUCCUCAAGAUUCCUCCGAUUGGUUUUUUUGACGAGAGAGAGAUCAUCUGAACCUGACCCUGGCGGUCAGUGGCGAGCCAACCACAGAAUUGGACAGAGAACGGACCAAGAGCUCGGUGUGGCCAGCCGUGGCAUCCUUGGAACCAUCAUCAUCAUCACUCUCCUUCCUUGAGACACAGAUAAGAUAACAUGUAAACCUACCCGGGUAGUAGAAGAAUUACUUCACGACACUUCAAGAACACACACACACACACACAUCACAGAAUAGAGACAAUGAAUCAACUUCAUUUCCCUUUGUCCAGCAGAAUCUGACAGAAUUUUAUUUUUCAUUUUUUUAACUUUUAUUUUGGGGAUCCCUGUAAUGUGCGCCUGUGCACUUAGGAAGCCGGCUUAGAUAGGCAGGGAAUGUGAGUAAUUGUUUUUUUUAUAUAAUAUAUUUUCCAAACUCACCUGUUUGUGUGUCAUCUGUUCUCUGCUGACUUCUUUAGGCUCCGUAGUCGUGCUUACAGUCUUCUGACAUUAACCCAGCUUUAAUUAUACUUACCCAGAGAAACCCUGCUACAGAUACAUUUAGUAAAAAUGGGGAUUAUUAGCAGGAUUACAAUUUUAAAAUACAUUUUAAAAUAAAGAACGAUAUACUACCAUGCACAUGCGCACACAUUACAACACUUAACGAGUCUCACGACACCACUCUGGUCUGGAGUGAAACCACAGGCAAUCUUACAGUUGCCAAUUCAUUAUCA